GACGAACGCUGGCGGCGUGCUUAACACAUGCAAGUCGAACGGACAGGCCCUGCUUUUGUGGGGUGCUCGAGUGGCGAACGGGUGAGUAACACGUGAGUAACCUGCCCUUGACUUUGGGAUAACUUCAGGAAACUGGGGCUAAUACCGGAUAGGAGCUCCUGCUGCAUGGUGGGGGUUGGAAAGUUUCGGCGGUUGGGGAUGGACUCGCGGCUUAUCAGCUUGUUGGUGGGGUAGUGGCUUACCAAGGCUUUGACGGGUAGCCGGCCUGAGAGGGUGACCGGCCACAUUGGGACUGAGAUACGGCCCAGACUCCUACGGGAGGCAGCAGUGGGGAAGAUUGCACAAUGGGCGGAAGCCUGAUGCAGCAACGCCGCGUGCGGGAUGACGGCCUUCGGGUUGUAAACCGCUUUCGCCUGUGACGAAGCGUGAGUGACGGUAAUGGGUAAAGAAGCACCGGCUAACUACGUG
RNAcentral lists this ribosomal RNA (468 nucleotides) under uncultured bacterium. RNAcentral describes it as "partial 16S ribosomal RNA". It matches the Rfam family "Bacterial small subunit ribosomal RNA", at positions 28 to 507 of the family's 1533-position model. The record is from RNAcentral.